CUGCCCUAUACGCANNNANAACGUACCGAAAGGUACNCUAAUACGAGAUAAUAUAUUUUUAUCGCAUGGUAGAAAUAUCAAAGCUCCGGCGGUAUAGGAUGGACCCGCGUCUGAUUAGCUAGUUGGUAAGGUAAUGGCUUACCAAGGCGACGAUCAGUAGCCGACCUGAGAGGGUGAUCGGCCACAUUGGAACUGAGACACGGUCCAAACUCCUACGGGAGGCAGCAGUGGGGAAUAUUGCACAAUGGGCGAAAGCCUGAUGCAGCAACGCCGCGUGAGCGAUGAAGGCCUUCGGGUCGUAAAGCUCUGUCCUCAAGGAAGAUAAUGACGGUACUUGAGGAGGAAGCCCCGGCUAACUACGUGCCAGCAGCCGCGGUAAUACGUAGGGGGCUAGCGUUAUCCGGAAUUACUGGGCGUAAAGGGUGCGUAGGUGGUUUCUUAAGCCAGAGGUGAAAGGCUACGGCUCAACCGUAGUAAGCCUUUGAAACUGAGAAACUUGAGUGCAGGGGAGGAGAGUAGAAUUCCUAGUGUAGCGGUGAAAUGCGUAGAUAUUAGGAGGAGUACCAGUUGCGAAGGCGGCUCUCUGGACUGUAACUGACACUGAGGCACGAAAGCGUGGGGAGCAAACAGGAUUAAAUACCCUGGUAGUCCACGCCGUAAAACGAUGAGUACUAGCUGUCGGAGGUUACCCCCUUCGGUGGCGCAGCUAAACGCAUUAAGUACUCCGCCUGGGAAGUACGCUCGCAGAGUGAAACUCAAGGAUUUGACGGGGACCCG
Molecule: ribosomal RNA, 777 nt
Filed under: uncultured bacterium
Lineage: Bacteria
Description: bacterial SSU rRNA
Rfam family: Bacterial small subunit ribosomal RNA
Source: RNAcentral